Molecule: long non-coding RNA, 4202 nt
Organism: Sarcophilus harrisii (Tasmanian devil)
Lineage: Eukaryota; Metazoa; Chordata; Mammalia; Dasyuromorphia; Dasyuridae
Exons: 3
Source: RefSeq, a predicted model, not a curated record
UUCUUCAUUUUCUGCCAUAAGAAUGGUCAUCACCUACACAUCUGAGAUUCUUUGUAUUUCUCCCAGAAACCUUGAUUCCAGCCUUUGAUUCAAGCAGCCUGGCAUUUCACGUGAUGUCCUCCACAUACAAGUUGACAACAUACAUCCUUGUCAUACUCUUUCCUAUCUGAAAGUUGUUCCAUGUUCAAUUCUAGCGGUUGCUUCUUGGCCCACAGGUUCCUCAGCAGACAAGUAAGAUGAUCUGGUACUCCCAUCCCUUGCCACAUUUUGCUGUGAUCCACACAAAUACUUUAGUGUAUUCAACGAGGCAGAAGUAAAUGUUUUUUUUUUCUGAAACUUUCUUGCUUUCUCGGUAAUCUGGUAAAUGCUGGCAAUUUGGUCUCUAGUUCCUCUGCCUCUUUGAAAACCCGCCUGUUGUUCUGUUAAUUCUCAGUUCCCAAAGUCUAGCUGGCAGAAUCUUAAGCUUAAGCUUGCUGAUGUGUGAAACGAGGGCAGUUAUUUUGUAAUUUGGACAUUGUCCUUCUUUAGGAUUGGGACACAAAUGGGUCUUUUGUGAUUCCCUGGUUCCUAUUAUGUUUGCGAGCCUGUUGAGGACAGCAUUUUAACACCAUCAUCUUUUAGGGUUUCAAAUAUCUCAGCUGGAACUCCAUUCCUGAAGCUACUGAUUGAAUAUGGGGUGAAGAAGACCGAAGACUAGAGGAUAGGACUCGGGUUGUAAAUAUGAGCAAUCAGAUGGUUCAUUAUCUACAGAAGUUGGAAAGUUAGGAGGAAAUUUCAGAGUUCUAGGGCAUGAAGUCUAAAGAGUCCUUGUGGUGGAGAAGAUCGAGGGAAUGAUCCUUCCUAUGCAUGCCCGAAGUGUAACGAGUUGGAUAUCUGGAUAAUUGAGGAGGGUGAGGAAAUAAAAGCUAAAAUGUUUAAAGAACACAAUAAGCCCACUGAAGCCCCAAAGUGUGAAAGCUUGGAGCCAGUAUUCCUAGGGAAAGAAAAGAGAAUGAGAUUAGCUGGAGGUCACGAAAAUUUUGAGAUACACUAUAGGUUGCUAAAGCCAACUGUGUGGCCUGGGGAAGGACCAGUUGGUUGGAUCUCUACCUUUUAUAUGCAGGAUCUUUCAAUGGAGAAGAAAUUAUCUUGGUGUUCUUUCUCCAAACACUGGAAGACUGGCAGGAGAGGUGAUGGGGAAUUUGGUACAGAAGCUGGACUGAUCACCAGCUAAAUAGGUACAUCCCAAUGCUUGUAAGCUGAUUGACUGACGUGAAUGACUGUUGACAGUAGUAUUUUAAUUUAGAAUACCAUUUGACACAGAUUAGAAACUCUGACCCUGAACUUAACCACCUGCUCAGGUCCUCUAGGUUUAAAGGCAAUCAAUGACCCAGCACUCAAACCCUCAAAUAGGAAGCCCAUUCUUUUGGCCAGUAUUCACUUCUGUACGAGACAGCUAUUCUGUUUUAACUAAACGACCUUCCUGAGAUCCGAAGCAAUCAGUUUGCUUCCUGAUUGUGUCUCUCCUAACAUGCAUAAUUACAAAGGUUAUUAUUAGUCAUAAAAUCACCCAGCCCUUUAAACAAUUCCGCUCAGGAAUUGAGAUCCUUAACACUGAAGGUGAUGAAGACAUUCAGAGGAAGAGCUUCGCUGCCCUCCAAAGGCUUUGCUGGUAGAAUGUGAUCACACAAGAAAAUACAGACAACAGUUAAUUGUGUCAUUGCAAAAAUACUGGAGAUUUAAAGUGACUCCACAUCUCCCAUGGAGGGGAUUUCAGAUCCUACUUAUGAAAAUAUUGGGGAUAGUUGGCUCUUCUGGCUGCACAGUCAUUCCAAGUAGGACCAAGAAAUGUUUCAGAGGUCACACAGGGGGGCCUUCGGUAGGAUUCUCUUCCCUUGCAAAUUUGAUGAGGAGAGGGGAGAGAAAGAAAUCAGUCUUUCUUCAGUCAGCUCUUCAGGUGCAGAUGAUUGAAUAUGUCAGAGUCAGAUGACUCCUCUCAUCCCUAUAGGAUUCAGCAAGCAAGUCUAAAUCCAGUACACUUGCUUUUAUGGGGAAAUGGUAUUUUUCCGCUAUUUUUUAGCUAGAAAUAUGUGAAGUGGCUCUUUUUAAAAUACAGUCUUCUUAAAAAAUAUUGGAUUUUAGAGGACAUUUGGUCAGCAGAUUGUGAAUCAAACUGAGACGAUGUGGUACAGGAAAAAAAAGUGGAGUUUUAAAGAGUCUGAGUUUAGAUCCUACAUCUUUCACUUCCUGUGUGGUCUGGGGUAAGUCAUUUAAUUGUGCGGGAUUUGGUCUCCUUAGCUAUGAAAUGAGGAGAUUGGGUUUGGAGGCCUCUGAAGGUUCCUUCCGGCUUUACAUUAAUGAAUUUGUGAUAGUCAGGUUCUGGGAAAACCUAAUCAACCAACCUUUCCAGAAAAUCAAACUCUACUGAAUUUAGUCUCUCUGGGCCAGGAUUUGCAAUUGUCUGCAACAUGCUUCGUAAAGUAUCCACUCAAUGCACUGAAAACCCAUCUCUGUUGUUGCUUUUAGCUUCUGGGGGUGACUAUCUGCUACUAAAGCUGUUCAUUGGUGCUGCUUUUUUGCUACAUUACUGACCCACCUUCGGAUCACAAGGGUUCUCAAUGGCGCUCUUUAUGAUACUUCUUGUGUGGAAGAACCCAGAAAUUCUAUCAAAAUACUGCCUAAUAAAAUCUGCAUGGAGAAGAAACGAGGAAAAUUCUGCCUAAAUAAGUCUCCCCAUUCCCUCUGCCCGAGGUAGACAUUUAGCUACAGGCAGAUAUUAUCUCCAUCAAUAGAUCCGGGUGGUACCAUGUUGGAUUUGGAGUGAGGAAGAUCCCAGUUCAGAUUCUACCUCCGACACUUCAGCUCUGUGAUCUUGGAUGACACUUACAGAAAGUUGAGGCCCAGAGAAGUUGUGGCUCAAUGGGGGAGCAAUGAAGAUGACCAAGGGAGAGAACAGAAGAGAUGAGAAGGAUGAGGACAAACUCAUGGCCAACAGCCACAUCAGGGAGAAACACAGGAACCAACAGAGGAGAGAAAGAAAUGUGGGGACUCUGGACUGACCCAGGAAACACUGGAUUUGGAGUUCCUGAAGAUUUAUUAGAAUGUGAAUGUCAAUACGGAUUUUCAUGCAGUGCAAAUAGCUUAGCUAAGAGACAUUUUGCAUCGAACAAAAAGGUACUUCAGAGAAAGUAAAGAAUAAGGGGACAGGGAUAACCCAGUUAGCCUCUGGAUGGCUGAUCAUCAAAAGGGGAGUGUCACCACCUGGCACUGGAGAGACUCCAUUCCCCCUUUCAUUAAGGACAAUUGCAGAAAGCUGGGGAAGGGCACGGAAUGAUUGCAAGGCGCCACAAGCAUUCUGACAGGUCCCAGGAAGCUUUGUCCUUUUCUCUCCAAGGUCAGAAUGGGAAGUCUUGUUCCUCUGCAGUCUUGUCUUUGGAAGGCUGGUAUCAGAACCCGGACAGAGGCGUCCUAUUUCAUGUCAUUGAGACCCAGCCAUUUGUUGGAAGCAGAUAAAUAACUCCGAAUCUGAAGGGAGCAUAACCAGAGAACUUCCAGGGAAUAAAUCAUCUUUGCCCAAAUGUUACAAAUAACCACCACAAACAAAACGUAGCCUUCUGGGAGCUGGCUCCGCAUCGGCUUUGCUGGGCAGCCCGGCUCGUUUUGUUCCUUACGCCAAAUCUUCCAACAAAGGGUGGUCUAAGAUAUUAAGGGGACAAAAGCCAAUAUUGAGAAACUCUCUGGACUUUGUUUAGAAUCCACCUUUUAAAAAUGACCUCAUUGACUGUUUCCUGGAGUGAGCACCGUGUGUGGCCAGAAAGUCAAAUAAUUCUCUUAUUUGUAACUGCUCAUUAUGGUGACUCGCUGCCGUAAUGGCCACCCAGACAUAUCUGCCCCAUUUCCCACGCUGGCCCUCCCAUCUCAUUAGUUACCUUAAGACUAAGCACAACUGAUCACUCUGGCCGAGGGCUCUCUUUAAAUGCCUGCGAGACAAACCCGGCUCUGAACUGCGCCUUGUGGAAAGUCUGAAAACCCCAUCAGCCAAGCAGCGAUCCCACUAAUCUCUUCCAGGGGAGUGAGAGCCAUACUUCUGCUGACCUGGGAAUUAUGGCAGUUAGUUCCUAUUUUACUGCCUACCUGGUAACAAGCCACGAGAUCGAUCGGACACUUGGGCGUCUUUCAGAGGGAAAACAAGUCAAGGACAUUUCUUUCCACCAAAAAAAAAA